RNAcentral lists this long non-coding RNA (7319 nucleotides) under Pelobates cultripes (western spadefoot toad). Lineage: Eukaryota; Metazoa; Chordata; Amphibia; Anura; Pelobatidae. The record is from RNAcentral.
AAACAAAAAAAAAAAACAAGAAGCUACUGAGAAGGUCAGAAUAGUAUUAUUACUGAAUAAAACAGAAAAAAAAUAUUAAAAUGUAUUGUUGUAACCAUUUAUUUAAUUUUCUGUUCAGGAUGUGUACAUUUCUGUUGUUGCUGUGUUUGGUGGGGUCUAUCUCCACUCAAGAGUCUGGUAAGUUGAAAAGAAAACUGAGAUAAUAUUAUACGUUAUACGGUUUUGUAUUAUUAUUAUUAUUAUUAUUACUACCAUUUAGCUGAUACUUGACUUAUAAUUUGCCUUCAGGUGAUAAUGGUCAGGAAGACUAUGAAAUCCAAAACAAUAUAGAACCUUCCACUCUAAGUCAAGACACAUCUGAAGAUCAUCUGGAAGAUGUUCUGAUAUCUGAUAAAGGCACAGUUUCCAAAAUAUGUCCUGAGGGUGAUAACUGUAAAUUUUACAAAUUCUUUUACCAUCAUCGUAAUUUUCAUACAGCUCAGGUUGGUGCUUGCUGGUUUUCAUAUGUUUUUUUUUUAUUUGUAUCUAUAUAUAAUGCAAGUUUUAUAAUACACACAAUGUGUGAAUAAGAGCAUGUAGUCCACCAAACUAUCACCACAAUAAUCAGUCUUUACCAGCAUGAUAGCAGUGGAUUACAAUUCUGACUAUAGUUAGCUAAUCAAAAGACAACAAAAUUUAUGCAGUGGGAACUUUUCUUUUGGUCACUGACAGAAAACAUCUUCCAUUCUGACUUAUUUACAUGUAUAAGAUAUGAAAGUUCAGGCUGGAGAAAAAUUGAGAAACCAUAGUGCAAUACUGAUUGUGAAUAACAAAUACACUUUAAUUGUCACACUUACAAGGUAAAAAAUUAUAAAAUACGUUCUCAUGAUCCCCAGUCCAGGUCCAACAAUAUAUUGAUGAGCCUGAACUUUCAGUCAUUCUGUGAGUGCAACCUUUAACUCUCGGGGUGAUCUAAUAUUACGUUACUACCCUAUAAGUACUUUCUCUAUUUUAUAUUUUUAGGUAUAUUUUGUUUUUCUAGUUUUGUAUGAGGAUUGAGAGGAGUCCUUUGGGUAUAUUGUGCCGCUUAUAAAGGGGGUGAUUACCUUUUCAUUGAUUUUGCACUUCUGCACCUGGGUGGUCUAUACAUCUGUUUGUUCAUAUUGACUUAUUUACAUGACAGUUCUACUUUGCAGCUGCUGGAAUGUCUGAAGUUGUCUGUGAUUGGCUCAGGAUGAGCUAUAAUCAUAGACGUGUAUAGAAAAUAUUACUUAGCUUUGUCAAAUUUCUUCUGAUGAUACCUACAUGAAAACAAUUGCAAUUAUUACUCUUUUAUUUAUAAACAUUUGUGCCUGGCAAAUAACUUUUGAAAAUAAUGAAUUUGAUGUCUGCGGUUUAAGGGUACAUCCUUAAUUCAGUUAACAAUAUUCAUGCACUAAUUUUAGAUAUACCAUACAAGGGGGGUCUAUUUAAGUAGUGCCUAAAAGUUUGAAGGCAAAAAAAAAAUAAAGUUGUACUUGGAGUUGCAUCUUUGGAUAUAAUGUGUGACUCUUCUUGCUCAAUUCACUGAAUUCUAAUUCUUGGUUUGUCUUUAUCUACAUUGUGUUCCACAGGGAAUCUGUAGACACUUUGGUGGGAAUCUCUGUUCAAUUCACAGCACACGGGCCAACAGACAGAUUUCGAAUUUCGUGAGGAGAGCACAUAAAGGUGUGACAUUGGUCUGGAUUGGUGUGAGGAACUAUGGAGGAGUAAGCAUCAUUUCAUUCAAUUUUUUAACAAAGUAAAAGUAAAUUUAGCAUACGGAAAUUAUUUUUCUUUGUAACUGUUUCAAAUACCAAUAGAGAUUAUUAGAAUUACUAUUAUUGUUUGCCUUAUGCACAAAAAUACUGACUUACACCUGCUGCAAUCCUUUUCUUGCAAUUGUUGCACAGUUUUUAUGUACAUGCACUCCUUCUCAAUUCUAAAAACUACUAGGUUUUCCCCUAAUUGAAUGGCUCUAAUUUGGUUUAUGUGGACAAUUUUAUUUUUUUAAUCUGUUGAUUUAUUUCAAAUUGAUGUUACUAUACAGCUCUGAUCAAUAUGUGCUGGAGCUGUUUAUUGAUCAAAUUAGUCCAAAAAAAAAAAAACAUCAACAUUUCUAUAGCAGCUGUCAUAUUAUCAGAGAACUGUCAUCAGUCUACAACUCACCAGUUUUUUUUUAAGUUGCAGUGAAAAAUUAUCUACACAAACCUCUUUAUAAAACAUAUGUUUUUCUGGCUUUAUCUGGCACACAAACUCCAAGGUUCUUAACUCCAAGGUUCUUUUUUACUACUCUGGUGUACUGUUUUCCCCAGCACUAUGUAUUGAAUUCUCUUUGUUUUCAUGUAUUCUAGGUAACUGUUACAUGUACAUUGCCUAAACGACAUACUUUAUAUUAGAGUUAUAUUAGAUUAAUUUAAUCUAGUGUGUUUUAGCUUGGACACACUGAAGUAUGUGCAUUCAUGUUUUUCUUGAACAACACUGUCUAUAUAAAUCAGAUACAUGCUGAAUAUCCAUUUUUUAUUGUUUGCAUACAUAUAUUUGUGUUUGGGGCAUUCUCAUAUGAUAUAGAAUAAGAUGGGUUGUAGAGAUGUAGCUUUAGGAAUAAUCGGUUGAGGUGUGCCAAAACCGACGUAUGCUGUAGGCCGGUAAAAAGUGGGCAAAAAGAGACAUAUUAAUGCAAAACAUUAUACAGGAUCAUAGUGCAUUUGUUAACCAUCAGGUAGACAUUUUAAUGAAAGCUUCCUAAUUCCUGAAUCGGCUGUGGUAUGUAAGUCGCAUAAGUCUAUGAUUCCCAGUAGCAGUUUUGAUAACUGCAUAGGUGCGUGGCUCGGAAGGUGCAUGGUCGAGUGGUUCUGACAUGAUUUGAACAUUGUAUGUCUAUGGCCAGUAUUUAGUUUUAGCAGGAACGUCCGCUUAGCUAUGUCUCUAAGUAAGGUAUGGAUGGGGUAGGAGGAUAGGAACCCUUGUUGUUUGGGAAGGAGAAAUACGUAUAAUGUUGAAUGCCCGUGAGAUAAGUUUAACCGUGUUGUGCGAGAAUUUUUAACUUAAGGUGGCAAAAAGAGGCGAAGGCCAUAAGUGGUGAAACCUCAAACCAGCUAUCUAAGUGAUGGUCCGACAUGAAACGUAUUGUAUAAGUGGAAAACCCUGUAGCAAGCGUGUUGAGUGCUGGUGGACAAGACCAGUUUAGUCAGAGCCCGGCUAUGUUGGCGAGGUUCAUGUAAUCCAUGACCUUGACCAUAAAUGACCCCCUUGCCAUGGCUGCUGUCACGACAGCUGCCACAAUAGUUUACCAUUACGUGUUGUUAAGAAAGUCCACCAUAAGUGUAGGUCUGCCGUGGCUUGGUUGUCUAGGGACAGCCCCUGAUCAUCAUGCGGGAGUGUGGAAAAAGCAAAGUGGUCUUAGAUGAAAGCGUGGCCUGUGGUAUAAUGCGCAUGGCAAAAUUUAAGGAACCUGGUAGGGAUUGUAGUUCCAUGCGGUUGCAAGUACCAAGCAGGAGGUGGUAAUUGGUGUUGUUGCGACUGUUCCUAUUUCCACCAAAAGUAGAACUUUGGACACGAAAAUAUAUAUUCUAUUGGACUCAACACCCAGUGUACACAUCGGCGCAGACCCAUCCCCCCAUCUUUCUUGUUCCUACCAUUUGAUUUCCAAGGACACUAGAAGGAGUCCUUGUUUGGGACUGCUGCCUUUCUGACUAGCGCUGACUCUACCCCCCGUUCUGCUGCCCAUAAAUGCCCUGUAAGUGCCAGUGUAGGGUGGAUGGUGGCAGUCUGAAAUGCGUUUGUGAUAUCAGUUUUACUUAACCAGGCUUCCCCCCCUUCUUGAGUGAUAGCUGUAAUGGUUUGAACAAUGGUGGCAUACUGUAAUGAAAACUCCUCAGAGGGUAUGAGGGAGUUGAGACUUGGGGUAGCUGGGACAAAAUUGUUGUGUGGGACUAGCAACAUCUUCUCCAAGUGAAUGUGUGUUGACUCUAGCUGGAGUGUUAGGUAGAGAGAAAUCCUUACCACCUGCUUGAUACAUACUAAAAAACAUGAAGAUAGCCAUUAUUAUAUGAACCCACAGUGUGCUAGUACUGGCUUGCUAGCUAAAGCCACAUGGCGAAACAAUUAAUCCUUUGUUUGGUGACAGGUGAGGCCCUGCUAGUUGCCAAGUGGCUUGAGAGGCUCUAUCUAUGCAAUGGUGCAAGGGGAUUUUUGUGGCCACCAAACGUAGUGGCAGGAUGUUGGCCUCUCGGUGACUGAAACCAGAAAAAAGGGGAAGGGAGUGACAGGUGAGGCCCUCUCUAUACACCAUGUAAGGCGGCUAGCUCACGAGUGCCCAUAUGUGUGUUAUGCAAGUUUAAAAGAGAAAAGUGCACCGUCCCAAUGUUUAUUGUAUGCUUGUAAUGCCCCUGUUUGAAGGAAAUUAACUUUUCGGGAGUGUUAUAUCAUGUGUGAUAUGGAAUACAACUGUACCCCGAAACAUGAGUGCCGUGAACCAUGACUGGCAGCUGAAUAACCUAAUAUGUGAAAAUGCGUAAUUGGAAGGACUUAUAUUUUAAGCGUGCAAACAUGCAAAUAUUCCGUAUUAGACUCUGGAAUCCAGACCCCUUAAGGACCAAAUUUCUGGAAUAAAAGGGAAUCAUGACAUGUCACACUUAAAUUCUGUUUGCAAAUUAUUUUGAGCAUUUAAGCAUUUGUGGUGAUUUUAUGGUGUUUAUUUUGAAUAGAGGUCCUCCCAAGUCUUUAAACCUACCAUUCAAUUUAUCAGACAUGCACUAAUGCACUCCCCUUAUAGAUUUUUAUAUACAUAUGCUUGCUCUCUUAAACACAGAAUUAACUUACCACACACUCACACUAUUACAGAGGCACACUUAUUUAUACACACUCUAAAGCUAAAUUAUGCACACUCUAAUACUUUAAAUAACACGUGCACUCAUUAAUUUAUGCACAAUUGCAACAAAUUGCAAUCACACUUAAAAUUACACACACACACAAUGAGAUAAUGUGUCUCUGUAUAAUAAUAGAUGUUCUAAAAUUAGUUUUUGACCUUCUAGGCCAUGAUCUGUGACUACAUUUUAGGAAAGAACAAUGUUUAAGGUUACAGGUUGUAUCAUUGACUUUUUUUUUGUUGUUGUUGCAAUUCCUUUCAGAAUUCUCCAUUCAGAAAUGUAGAUGGAACUCGACUGGAUUACACCAACUGGGGAUGUGGGCUAUCUUCCAGUACUAGUAGGUGCACUGCCCUUAAUAUUCACAGUAAGUAAAAAAAAAAAAAAAAAAAGUCUUAGCCUUAAGCUGAAUUUAUAGUCUUAGGUCCUGACACUAUAAUAGCUUCUACCUGCAGUGUACGAUUUGGUUCUGGUGAAAUCAAUAAAACGCAGACUUAACUAUGGCCCCUGUACAAAUUUUCUGUAAAAUUAGAAGUGGUCUCUGCUGAGUAAUUACUGAUGUGGCUAUCAUACACUCGGCUACCAAGAGCAGUGCAUAAUAAAAUGGCAUGAAUCUGAAAACGUGUUUCAUUUUACUGUACUCAUACAGUGAUCAACUUGGCCUUUGUUAAUGAAAUAGAAGUUAAACUUGUUAUUCAGACGUGUGAAUGGCAUGUUCAUUUUAAAAGUUAUUUAUAAUCAUUGUGGCUCUCACAACAUCCCCCAAAUCUUUCCAAAGUAGUAUAACACUGUCUGUCAUAGAGUGCAGAGAAUACCAGGUGAGGAGAACACAUAUAUGGAUCUUCUAUCCACCUAGUUCUAGAGAUAUGUUAUUUAUAAGUUAAAACACAAAUUAGGAAAAUUGCUACACACUGCAAUAUAUUAUGUUUUAAAAAAAGAUACUGAUAAGCCCCUGUAACGGAUCACCUGGCACCCCGACUGGGUACCUCCGUUGAAGGAUGCACCUAGCGCUUACAGAGGGCUCCAAGCGCUCCGCAGGCACCACAACCACCGCAGACCCAACUAACCGCCCCAGCUUGGUUGGGGUCUCGCUGUCUCCUACCCACCCUGGACCUACGACAAGGCUACAAGUUGCAGUGGGUGAACCUCUCCUCCAAGAGAGUGAAGCAGGAACAAGCUCUUAAAAGAGCUUAGUAGUGAUUAGCUAAGGGAGUAUGCAGAGCAUAGCAAUCCCUUGUAGUGAUAUAGUAAUUCCCCCAAUAAGAGACAGGACUCUAGAUUGAGGGUGAAGAAGAACUGUCUGUACUGGCACAUACAGCCUCUUUUAUUCACAUUCUACAAACAUAGUACUGCCCACAGGGUUUUGGAGAACAACCAAUCAACACAUUACAACACAGCUAACACUCCCAUUCAUUACAUGAGAAAUCCUCCCCUCUGCCUGUGAUACAAUUAUCCCAACACAAUAGACUAACUUAAUUAUCACAGGCAGGAAAAUACGGUAUUGUAAAACAUAUCACAGGGACCCCAAAACAUGCAAUAACCCCAUAAAAAACCGGGGGAUCUGGGUGAACCACAUAUCCAAAAUUCACCCAGAUCCGUUCAAUAGUUUGGAAGAUACGGUUUAAUACAGAUUCCGCAGAACAUAUACAGGCUAUAUGAAAAAUAAUUACUGUUAAAUGUGUCCAGUGUUCUGUAGUUCAAAACUACUGAACGAUGUCUUUGUGCACCAAAUACCGGCGAGAUGGCACUGUGUAGAAAAGUCAAAACAGUGUCUGUGAGUUAAAAUGGCUGCCAUCCAGUGUUCUCACCAUGUGCUUCAUCCAUUGUUCUCACCAUGUGCAUCUGAUACAUGAAAUGGUGGCCACCCAGUAACUCCACAGUUUGUCCCCAGAUGGUUCUUAAAGGGCCAGCAGCAGCAUAAUAAAAUACAGUAUGCUCAGAUCAGUUCCUUAAAGGGCAAUACAUCCCAGGGCCAUAGUCGCAGGGCAGGAGGCUGGCAAACAGGCCCCUCCAAAAACCAGUGGCGAGGUCACUUUCGCCACAGCCCCUUUUGCUAAUUUUUAUUUUUUGCUUUUUUUUUACAGCUGGACGAUGGCAUACUUUCCAUUGUGGGAUACUUCUGCCAUUUGUUUGCACCUGCUAGCAAUGUUGUUGACCUGCAACUUACAACACAUUUUACUCUUCAUGGGCAUUCCAGACCCAACUUAAUAUGCAUUUUUUUUAAAACAUAUUUUCAAUAAAGUUUGAAGCAACAUGUAUAUGUAUGAUGUUCUUUGUGUGUCCUGCAUUGUAUAAUACUGAGUAGUUUUAUUUCCUGUUGAUAUUAAUAUAUACUAUAAAACCUUGUAAGUGAGCUUGGAUUCUUACAUGUGUUAAUGUCUCAAUAACUUACUAUGUUUCACUUUAAAAAGUUGACACUAAGAAAUUCACCAUCACUAUUGCCUCUUUAUAAUG